CCAUUGGAUGAUAUCUUUUUUUUCUAGGCACAAGAAAAUAUUUCCCUCCGGAGUAUGAAUUGCAUGGCAGGUACCAUGCACAGCCAGCGACUGUUUGGUCUCUAGGGAUCGUCCUGUUCGCAUUGAUGUGUGGGGCUUUACCCACUGUCUCCGACCACUCCUUGAUCAGGGACUAUCUUUGGUCUAGCCCUGGCCUGUCAAUAGAAUGCUGCCAGAUGAUCUGCGGUUGUCUACAGCCAAACCCAGAUGAGAGACUCGCUCUGCAGGAGAUGCAUCUCCAUAACUGGUUUAAGGUCAUGGAGUAAGACAGGACAAACAACUCAGCAACCCUAGCACACCUGAGGACUGCUGCAUUGGAUUGCUCUUUGUAUUAUAUUGUUGCCUUGUCAUCUUCUUUAAUAGUGCAGGGCAACUUACAUAUGAGUGCCUUUGUUGAUUAAUUAAUUUGUCAUGAAUGUUUUGAAUGUAUUGUCAUUAUAUUAUUAUUAUACACAUAUGCAAAUGCACUAUAUAUGUCAUGUGUGUUUCUUAUAUA
This is a non-coding RNA of Danio rerio (zebrafish), 535 nucleotides long. The record is from RefSeq and is a predicted model, not a curated record. Lineage: Eukaryota; Metazoa; Chordata; Actinopteri; Cypriniformes; Danionidae.